UGCUCCAGAAGACAUUCAUUCUUUGGGACUAAUUGUUGAUUGUAAAGCUCUAUAAAUUAGAAGCACUUCCAAUGACUAUUUUCUUCUAAUUAUGCCAUUUUACCUCAUCAGAAAUAUUUAUUGCAGUAGUUGGUUUGGGUUUUUUGUUUUGUUUUGUUUUGUUUUUUUUGCCCUAUUUACUUUCACAAGCUUCUGUGGCCUAGUCUUUGAAUUAUCCAGUCAGCUGAGUUUAUACUGACCAUUUCACUGGCAUCACAGAGUUCCUUUAAAACAUUACUUGUGUUUAAGUGACACCUUGCAUUGUGAAUCCUGUAAUCCAUAAUAAUUAACCCUACAGUAAUUGAGAAGGUAUACUUUACAGAAUUCUCUCUCAUGAAUGAACUGUGGCACAUUGCAAUUAGAGUGCUUUGUCUGAGACAAAACAGCGGGCCUAGAAGCCAAACUCAAGAUGCUGAGGGAGAAACAAAAAUGUCAGUACACCAGAACCCUAUUAUAAUGAAGUUCUUAUCAUAUUAAUUUAGAUGUAUUACCUGCCUAUCUCUGUUCCUGGGAUGUAAGUGCAGGUAGGAAAGCGAAUAUAAAUAUAGAGCAUAACCCCCAAAGAGUGCAUGAUCUCUUCUUCCAAGUUAGCAUUAUAAAGAGAUUAGAAAAACUUGCCAGUGCAGGUAAAGUUCACAUUUUUGUCUUUAGGCUUCCGUCUUAUUAAAAGAACUCCAGUCACUGGGUGUAAGAGUAAACUGAAAGAGCCAUUUUGUAUGUUCAUAUACACUUCCAAGAAAUUGUGGCGAGAACCUAUUUUUCCACAUAAAUAUUAGCUGAAGCUCCAGAUUUUCAGUUUUGAAUCUUCUCUAAAAGUAGGUCUUGUUGUCAAAAACAUAUAGAAAACAAGCACAUAGGAGACAAAGACACUGGUUGUGCAGUCACUACAAAUGACUGGUAAUGUUAAAAGCAACUAUACAGACUGGGGGUAAAGUUCUGUGGUAGAGCUUAUGCAGCAUUCCUGAGGCCCCCAGUUCAAUCUCUAGCAUUGGGGGAGAACGGGAUGGGGAUCACAAAAUAAAGGAUUAGAACCUCUAAUUUUCUUUCAUACAGGUGAAAAUACUGUCAAGCCAAAAUCAGAUUUUCUUGCCUAAGUAAAAAUUAUCAAUUUAGGUGUUUCAUUCCUCAAAUGAUUAAAACUUCAGAAAGUCCCGACUGAUGACAUGGCAUACAGAAUAACUCUCAGAUAGGAAGACUGCAUUUUAAACAAACCUCUUGGAUACAGACGUGACUGGAGUACAGCUUCUACAAUAUACAGUUGUUGUGGUUGGACCUAAAGUGUCCUCCAAAGUCUCAUGUAUUCAGAGAGGUGGCUUUUGGAAAGUAACUGGAUUGUGGAGACGUUGUAAGCUGACUUGCUGUUAGAAGGUGAGGCCUAGCUGGAGACCUGGGUCCCUGGGCUUGUGACCUGCAAGUGUACAUUUCCCCUCCAGGCUCUGCUCUUUGCUCCCUGCUUCCUGGCCCCCAUGAUGCGAGCAGCUUUCCUCCGCCAGACCUUUCCAUCACACCCUUCCUGCCUUGAAGCAAGCCAAUUAUGAACUGAAACCUCUAAAACCUGCAGCUGAAAUAAACCGCUCCUCCUGUAA
Long non-coding RNA from Chinchilla lanigera (long-tailed chinchilla), 1625 nucleotides. RefSeq lists it as uncharacterized. Lineage: Eukaryota; Metazoa; Chordata; Mammalia; Rodentia; Chinchillidae. The transcript is spliced from 3 exons. The record is from RefSeq and is a predicted model, not a curated record.